GCCAGGUGCAGUGGCAUGUACCUAUAAUCCCUGCAAUUAGGAAGCUGAGACAGGAGGAUCGUAAGUUUGAGGAUAGCCUCAGCAAUUUAGUGAGAUCCUGUCUCAA
Molecule: small RNA, 106 nt
Filed under: Marmota monax (woodchuck)
Lineage: Eukaryota; Metazoa; Chordata; Mammalia; Rodentia; Sciuridae
Source: RNAcentral